RNAcentral lists this ribosomal RNA (1449 nucleotides) under uncultured organism. Its description in RNAcentral is "SSU rRNA". It matches the Rfam family "Bacterial small subunit ribosomal RNA". The record is from RNAcentral.
UGAACGCUAGCUACAGGCUUAACACAUGCAAGUCGAGGGGCAGCAUGGUCUUAGCUUGCUAAGGCCGAUGGCGACCGGCGCACGGGUGAGUAACACGUAUCCAACCUGCCGUCUACUCUUGGACAGCCUUCUGAAAGGAAGAUUAAUACAAGAUGGCAUCAUGAGUCCACAUGUUCACAUGAUUAAAGGUAUUCCGGUGGACGAUGGGGAUGCGUUCCAUUAGAUAGUAGGCGGGGUAACGGCCCACCUAGUCUUCGAUGGAUAGGGGUUCUGAGAGGAAGGUCCCCCACAUUGGAACUGAGACACGGUCCAAACUCCUACGGGAGGCAGCAGUGAGGAAUAUUGGUCAAUGGGCGAGAGCCUGAACCAGCCAAGUAGCGUGAAGGAUGACUGCCCUAUGGGUUGUAAACUUCUUUUAUAAAGGAAUAAAGUCGGGUAUGCAUACCCGUUUGCAUGUACUUUAUGAAUAAGGAUCGGCUAACUCCGUGCCAGCAGCCGCGGUAAUACGGAGGAUCCGAGCGUUAUCCGGAUUUAUUGGGUUUAAAGGGAGCGUAGAUGGAUGUUUAAGUCAGUUGUGAAAGUUUGCGGCUCAACCGUAAAAUUGCAGUUGAUACUGGAUAUCUUGAGUGCAGUUGAGGCAGGCGGAAUUCGUGGUGUAGCGGUGAAAUGCUUAGAUAUCACGAAGAACUCCGAUUGCGAAGGCAGCCUGCUAAGCUGCAACUGACAUUGAGGCUCGAAAGUGUGGGUAUCAAACAGGAUUAGAUACCCUGGUAGUCCACACGGUAAACGAUGAAUACUCGCUGUUUGCGAUAUACUGCAAGCGGCCAAGCGAAAGCGUUAAGUAUUCCACCUGGGGAGUGCGCCGGCAACGGUGAAACUCAAAGGAAUUGACGGGGGCCCGCACAAGCGGAGGAACAUGUGGUUUAAUUCGAUGAUACGCGAGGAACCUUACCCGGGCUUAAAUUGCAGAUGAAUUACGGUGAAAGCCGUAAGCCGCAAGGCAUCUGUGAAGGUGCUGCAUGGUUGUCGUCAGCUCGUGCCGUGAGGUGUCGGCUUAAGUGCCAUAACGAGCGCAACCCUUGUUGUCAGUUACUAACAGGUUCCGCUGAGGACUCUGACAAGACUGCCAUCGUAAGAUGUGAGGAAGGUGGGGAUGACGUCAAAUCAGCACGGCCCUUACGUCCGGGGCUACACACGUGUUACAAUGGGGGGUACAGAGGGCCGCUACCACGCGAGUGGAUGCCAAUCCCAAAAACCUCUCUCAGUUCGGACUGGAGUCUGCAACCCGACUCCACGAAGCUGGAUUCGCUAGUAAUCGCGCAUCAGCCACGGCGCGGUGAAUACGUUCCCGGGCCUUGUACACACCGCCCGUCAAGCCAUGGGAGCCGGGGGUACCUGAAGUGCGUAACCGCGAGGAGCGCCCUAGGGUAAAACUGGUGACUGGGGCUA